UGCAUCGGCCGGGAAUCGAACCCGGGGCCGCCCGCGUGGCAGGCGAGCAUUUUACCACUGAACCACCGAUGG
Molecule: transfer RNA, 72 nt
Filed under: Cordylochernes scorpioides
Lineage: Eukaryota; Metazoa; Arthropoda; Arachnida; Pseudoscorpiones; Chernetidae
Description: tRNA-Gly
Source: RNAcentral